CUGGAGAGUACUUAGCUGAGGAGUCUAUGUAUAUUAAUUCUUAUAGAGGAGGAAGCACAACCUGCCCCGGAGUUUAUUGAACCAGCUGAAGUGGAUCAUCUAAUUUCCAGGGUCUGCAAGGUUUUGAGCUUAAAAGAAACUAAUAAGGAGGAACCAUCCACUUCCAGCUAUUUUUUCUCAGAUCUCAGAAGGAAGAGGUCUUCAUUUCCAAUUCAUGACACCAUUAAAGACUUAACCACAGAUAAAUUCAGAAAAUAAAAUUUUCUGUGAGGGGAAGGUUUUCUCAUCUCUAUCCUAUAGGCUGUAAGGAC
Molecule: non-coding RNA, 311 nt
Organism: Pelobates cultripes (western spadefoot toad)
Lineage: Eukaryota; Metazoa; Chordata; Amphibia; Anura; Pelobatidae
Source: the annotation of a GenBank genome assembly